This 247-nucleotide ribosomal RNA is filed under the name uncultured bacterium. Its description in RNAcentral is "partial 16S ribosomal RNA". It matches the Rfam family "Bacterial small subunit ribosomal RNA", at positions 523 to 769 of the family's 1533-position model. The record is from RNAcentral.
AUACGGAGGAUCCGAGCGUUAUCCGGAUUUAUUGGGUUUAAAGGGUGCGCAGGUGGACUAAUAAGUCAGAGGUGAAAUUUUGCAGCUUAACUGUAAACGUGCCUUUGAUACUGUUAGACUAGAGUUUAAGGGACGUAACCGGAAUGUGAUGUGUAGCGGUGAAAUGCAUAGAUAUGUCACAGAACGCCGAUCGUGAAGACAGGUUACGAACUUAAUACUGACGCUCAGGCACGAAAGCGUGGGGAUC